RNAcentral lists this ribosomal RNA (525 nucleotides) under uncultured bacterium. RNAcentral describes it as "bacterial SSU rRNA". It matches the Rfam family "Bacterial small subunit ribosomal RNA", at positions 356 to 896 of the family's 1533-position model. The record is from RNAcentral.
GGGGAAUCUUGCACAAUGGGCGAAAGCCUGAUGCAGCGACGCCGCGUGCGGGAUGAAGGCCUUCGGGUUGUAAACCGCUUUCAGCAGGGACGAGGCGAAAGUGACGGUACCUGCAGAAGAAGCCCCGGCUAACUACGUGCCAGCAGCCGCGGUAAUACGUAGGGGGCAAGCGUUAUCCGGAUUCAUUGGGCGUAAAGCGCUCGUAGGCGGUCUGUUAGGUCGGGAGUUAAAUCCGGGGGCUCAACCCCCGCUCGCUCUCGAUACCGGCAGACUUGAGUUUGGUAGGGGAAGGUGGAAUUCCUAGUGUAGCGGUGGAAUGCGCAGAUAUUAGGAAGAACACCAGUGGCGAAGGCGGCCUUCUGGGCCAUAACUGACGCUGAGGAGCGAAAGCUAGGGGAGCAAACAGGAUUAGAUACCCUGGUAGUCCUAGCCGUAAACGAUGGACACUAGGUGUGGGGGAGUAUUUCUUCCGUGCCGCAGCUAACGCAUUAAGUGUCCCGCCUGGGGAGUACGGCCGCAAGGCUA